AUGCCACAAAACCAUCUCUGCAACGCCCACGUGACCAUGGCUCAGAAUAUACUCACUGUUUCAGAGGCUGUCAGUAACCGUCCUCUUCCAGACCCGGCUGUGCAGGCGAGGAUGGCAGGCGUCUGGCAUGGCUAUUCCCAGACGCUCAUGGCUCUUCCUGCAGCUCCAUGGGUCGGGAUGGUGCUACUACAGACAAAGCGUGCUGAGUUGUGCAGGAGGCGACUCUUGGCUAUGGUGAAAAUGCAAAACUGGAGGCAGAGGCAGCAAGACUUUCAACAGUCUGAGGUGUUUGCAAAGUGGAUAAUUGUGCAUGACCAGAGGAAUUGGAGUCUCCAUCCCGUCAUGCUUCUGAAGACCCACUGGCAUGCACUGGACAAGGAGAAGGCUUCUGUUAUCCAGCCAGAGAUGACRAAGGGGACCGAGGACACAUCGUGGACAACGGAUUGCGAAGGGCAAGCAGUCCAAUGACCUGCUUGCAAACAAUCCUGAUUUGAAAAUUCUUUAUCUAAUCUAAACUAAUAAUGACAAAUAGCCCUGAAAAAUAGUAGAAUCAAUUCACUAACCAAGCGAAGGCCUAGACUGAUAAUGAUAAAUUCACUCCAGUCUAAAUGUCCUUGUGGACCAUGGUUUUUAGUCUACAGAUAUUAAUUUGAAUUUUGGAUAGCUUUUCUAAGCUGCAUCUCCAAACUUUUUUGACAGUUGCUUAUCUUUGCUACUAAAAAUCAUUAGAUUGUUUAUUUGUGUCAUGCAAUCAAUAAGAAAAAUAAAAGAUACUAAAGCACUUUAUUUCCA
This 792-nucleotide long non-coding RNA is filed under the name Apteryx haastii (Great spotted kiwi). RNAcentral's name for it is "lncRNA (ENSAHAG00000009537.1)". The record is from RNAcentral. Lineage: Eukaryota; Metazoa; Chordata; Aves; Apterygiformes; Apterygidae.